RNAcentral lists this long non-coding RNA (3857 nucleotides) under Homo sapiens (human). RNAcentral's name for it is "non-protein coding lnc-RTP5-5:3". The record is from RNAcentral. Lineage: Eukaryota; Metazoa; Chordata; Mammalia; Primates; Hominidae.
AAAGGGCCACUCCCGGGUCUCAGAGAUGUGAGGCUGUGUGGGUGGCUUGGUGGGGAGGUGGGGGGGGCCCAGCUGGCCAGGUGGGCUUGGCGGGGGGCCCCCAGGGAGCCUGGCAGCACCCACUGUGCUGCCAGACAGCUAAGGUGGCCCGCAGCAACUGUCUCCUGGCACACCCACCCUUGUGCCUCAGGGGCUGGGGCUCUGGGGCUGGAGAACUGUUGGUUGGUAGGUGCCUCCAUAGCCCUGUGCCUCGCCCAGGCAGUGGAUAAGUGGCUAAGCUGCCCCUGCUGGCUGUACUUGUCCUGAAGGCAGAUUCUGGACAGAACCUCCCUCUGCCCCCAGCCCUGUAGAGCCUUGUUCCAACCUCUGUUGAAUGCUGUCUCUGUUCCAGGGCAGCAGUGGGCCUUCCUCAAGGCUCUGAGCUUUGUGGGACGAAGCUGUCCUCUGAGGACUGGGAAUGCCACUGUGUGGGCUGGAGGGGAGGCUGGGCCCAGGAGGUGGGCUCUGAGAUGGGAGAUGCUAUCAGACCCCUGGAAGGUCUCCUCACCACCAAGGCCCUGCCCCCAAAAUUCCACCUGCCAGGGCUUGGACACAUGUCCUGGAGUAGGGGGCGGGCACAGGGAGAAACCCAGCUUCCAUCCUACCCCUUCCUUCCUUCUCCUUCUCCCACCCCUCUCCUCUCUCCCUGCAGUUCUUCCCUGUCACCCACUCUCCUUCCCUCCUCCUCUCAGUCCCACUGAAGGCCCCUGGGCCAUGGGAGAGGAGACCUGGUGGGGUGGGCCCAGCGUGGAGCCAGGGGACUGCGGCCACUGAGGCCAGGGCUGCCUGAUGGUCUCUCCACAUUGCUACUCGCUGGAGCACCUGCAAAGAGACACAUGGACCCAGGGAGGGUCUGCAGGGCUGCGAGGGGUCUGAGCCUGGAGAGCACAGGGCCUGCAGGGAUGCAGGCAUUGGGCAUUGGGCCUGGACUAGUAGGCUGAACCUACAGGGUCCUGGGACCCCACCCCGAAGCAGAUAGGCGGUCCCAGGGCUCAGGUGUGGGGUGGGGACUCAUGGAGCCUGCACCCCAAUAUCACACUCCAGACCACUUAUUGACACCCUCCCCCAAACACAUACGGUGUCCCCAACACACGAUUUCCAACACACCACACCCCAACACACACAGUCCCCAACACACACACAGUCCCCAACACACACACAAUCUCCAACACACACAAUCCCCCCACACACAAUCCUCAACACACACACAAAAUUCCCAACACACACAAUCCCCAAAACAUACACAGUCCCCAACACACACACAAAAUUCCCAACACAUACAAUCUCCAACACACACAAUCCCCCUGCACACAAUCCUCAACACACACACACAAUUCCCAACACACACAAUCCACAACACACACACAAUCCCAACACACACACAACUUUCAACAUACGUAGAAUCCCCAACACACACAAUCCUCAACACACACACAAAAUUCCCAACACAUACAAUCCUCAGAACACACACAAUCCUCAACACACACACAAUUCCCAAUACACACACAAUCUCAAACACACACAAUUCCCUCACACACAAUUCUCAACACACACACAAAAUUCCCAACAUGCACAAUCCCCAACGUACACGCAAUCCACAACACAUACACAAAAUUCCCAACGCACACACAAAAUUUCCAACACACAAUCCUCUGUACACAUUGUCCCCAACUCACACACAACUCCCAACAUGCACAGAAUCCCCAACACACACACAAAUCCCCAACACACACAAUCCUCAACACACACACAAUUCCCAAUACACACACAAUCCCCAACACACCCAAUCCCCAGCACACACACAGAAUCUCCCCCACACACAAUCCUCAACACACACACAAUCCCCAACACACCCAAUCCCCAGCACACACACACAAUCUCCCCCACACACAAUCCCCAACACACACACAACCCCCAACACAUACACAAUCCCCAACACAAUCCCCAACACGCAAUCUACAACACCCACACACCACAAUCCCCAACACACAUACAAAAUCUGCAAUAUACACACAAUCCCCAACACACGAUUUCCAACACACACAACUCCCAAACAUACAUGCUCCCCAGCACACACACUUUCCUCCCACACACAUCCUAAGCCCGUGCCUUCCACCCAGUAGGCUUCCACUGUCUUCUGUCACGAGGAGGAAAGGCAGGCGGAGUCCGGGGAGCAGGGUAGAUGGGGCUAAGGGGCCCUUGGCUGGCCGGCCCUGCGCACCCCUCCCCCAUCUCCUUUUCUCAGCCUUCCUUCCCAGGGAACCUGGACACCCAGGCCCUUCCCCCACCGCCUGCUCCUUCCUCACAGAGGGUCAUACCCCAUCCAAAUCACUGGCCCUGGGAUGGCAGCAGCCAGAUUCAAUCCAGGGCAUUCAGUUAAAAGAUAAUUUACAACAAGCAAAGUUGUAUGUGGUUUUUGUCUGUUUAUUUUCUUGGACCACAGGCGUGCACCCCGUGGCCAGCUCAUAUCUAACAUUUUUUUUUUUUGUAGAAUUUGGGGUGGGGGCAGAGGAGGUCUCUUUAUGUUACCCAGGCUGGUCUCAAACUCCGGGCCUCCAGCAAUUCUCCCACCUUGGACUCCCAAAGAGUUGGGAUUACAGGCGUGAGCCACCACACCUGGCUGAUGGUUGUAUGUUUUGGUUGAGUAUUGUAUCAUUUACAAUUGAGAUAAUUGUAGAUUUACUUGCAGUUGUAAGAAAUUACACAGAUGUUUCCUCAUACACUCUGCUCAGUCUCUCUGAAUGAUAACAGUUUGGAAAACCACAGGACAACGUCACAACCAGGUUAAUGACUUUGAUGUGACACCUCGAUCCCAUCCUGAGUCCCCGUUUCUGGCUAAUGUGUGCCUAUCAAAGGCUGCACAAUGUGGGCACAAGCGAAGGCUCCUGCAUCCCCUGACAGCGAAGCUGCAGAACGUCCCCAUCACCACGGGGUCCUCCGGGUGCCCUUGGCAAUACACCCACCUCCCUGCUGGUGGCCACGAGCCUGCCCUCCACCCCCAUCACUGUUUCAUUCCAGCGACAGCCGUGGGAAGGUGCAGUACGCAUCCUUCCGGGAUUCCCUGGAGAUGCCUCCAGCGCGUGUGUUUCAGCAGCCCGUUCCUCUCUGUGCCGAGCCAUCCAGGCUGUGGUGUGGAUGUACGUACCACACCACAAUUUAGUCAGCCAUUCUUCAGUUUAAGUGAGUCUGGGUGGACUCCAGUUCUUGGUGACUAUGACUAAAGGCCCCGGAAGCCCUCUGUGGGCCAGAGCGCCCAGGAGGCCAGGGGAUCUAGGACUGCUUUCCGAGACUGGGGCCUUGCUCUCAGGGGCCUGGAGAAGGUUCCCCUCGCUGGGGGCCCUCCCAUGCUCCUGGACUGAGAAGAGAAACCCUACAGUUUCCAAGGAGCCUGCACGUCAUGACGCAUGGCGCCCGGCGCACGGCAGUGGUGAGAUGGGCCCCGUGUGCUGGAACAUGAGCCAGCAGCGAUGGAAAGUGGCGAGGGGAGGGGAAUCCCCGUGCUCGCUCGGGCCAGUGGGAAGUUUCCAUCCGCGCAGGGACGGUCCGGGGAAGCACUGGAAACAGCAGGACCAUCCCGAAACUGCUUCUGCAGUGGGAGGCGCCGGGCGCCCGGCUGGCCGGGUGGAAACCACGCUGCAGCCGCCGGGCCAAGGGCACCGCGGUGGGGAGGCAGCGCCUGAUUCACAGCAAUUUCUGAGGUUGGAACAGGAAAUGGUUAAUAGUGUUUGCAAAUAAAAACUCUCUGUUCUAUCCUGUUUUCGAAACAUUUCCCAGAAGUUAAAAAAUAACACCCAAUUUAUCUGCCCAAUUUAAGAAUA